This 431-nucleotide ribosomal RNA is filed under the name uncultured bacterium. Its description in RNAcentral is "bacterial SSU rRNA". It matches the Rfam family "Bacterial small subunit ribosomal RNA", at positions 29 to 506 of the family's 1533-position model. The record is from RNAcentral.
GCGAACGCUGGCGGCAGGCCUAACACAUGCAAGUCGAACGGACCCUUCGGGGUUAGUGGCGGACGGGUGAGUAACACGUGGGAACGUGCCUUUAGGUUCGGAAUAGCUCCUGGAAACGGGUGGUAAUGCCGAAUGUGCCCUUCGGGGGAAAGAUUUAUCGCCUUUAGAGCGGCCCGCGUCUGAUUAGCUUGUUGGUGGGGUAAUGGCCCACCAAGGCUACGAUCAGUAGCUGGUCUGAGAGGAUGACCAGCCACAUUGGGACUGAGACACGGCCCAAACUCCUACGGGAGGCAGCAGUGGGGAAUAUUGGACAAUGGGCGCAAGCCUGAUCCAGCCAUGCCGCGUGAGUGAUGAAGGCCUUAGGGUUGUAAAGCUCUUUUGUCCGGGACGAUAAUGACGGUACCGGAAGAAUAAGCCCCGGCUAACUUCGU